Molecule: RNA transcript, 957 nt
Organism: Neltuma alba
Lineage: Eukaryota; Viridiplantae; Streptophyta; Magnoliopsida; Fabales; Fabaceae
Exons: 2
Source: RefSeq, a predicted model, not a curated record
ACUAGGGGGUAGUCCUCCCUAAAUUAGACCUCUUUUCAUAUGAUUACCAUCAUCAGUCACACCAAUCUAGUUCUGAACCAAAUCAUAUGAAUGAUCAAUUUGGUAGAUGGUGACAAUCCUGGAAAUGAAAAACCCAUAUAUAUGGGACGUCAUACCUCUGAAUCACAUAAACCCACAGGUGACAAAAGAGCCCCCACAUGAUUGAAUGAUUAUAUUUGUAUGACUACAACAUAUCUGAAUGUAACAUUUAAGGUAAAAUGCAGUAUCCAGUCUAUGAGUAUAUGACUUAUGCUAAUGUUUCUAAUGACUAUAAAAAUUAUUUGUUAUCUACCGAUGCCACUGCUAAGCCUUGUAGCUUCCAAGAGGCAGCAAAGAACCCGAAUUGGAUGGAUGCUAGCAGAGAAGAAGUGAGGGCCUUGGAACAAAAUCAUGCAUGGGAAGUUGUUGAUCUUCCCAAGGGUAAGCAUGCUAUUGGGUGCAAAUGGGUGUUUAAGGAAUAGGUGGAGAUGAAUCAAAGAAAAGAAAGAAGUGGCAGAAGCAAAAGAUAUUUGCUCAACAGGAUCCUCUUAUGCAUGAACCAGCUGCAUAUCAAAGACUUGUAAGUAGGUUAUGUUAUCUAACUACCAUCAGGCCUGACAUUAAUUUUGCUGUACAAGUCUUAUGUCAAUUUAUGAGUGCACCCAGAAAGUCCUAUAUGGCAGCAGUAGUCCAGGUCGUAAGGUAUCUCAAAGGGAAUCAUGGCCUAGGCAUUUUCUUGGAUGCAACAAAGUCAAGCAAGCUGAAAUGCUACGUUGAUUCAAAAGUGGGCCGGCUGCCAAGACACAAGAUGAUUAGUGACGAGGUAUGCAAUCAAAUGUGGAGGAUAAUUGAUUUGUUGGAAAUCAAAGAAAUAGCAAACAAUCUCUAAGUCAUCCGUUGAGGUAGAAUACAGGGUGCUGAGUGCAGCAACAUCUAAAC